AUUGAACGCUGGCGGCAUGCUUUACACAUGCAAGUCGAACGGUAACAGGCCGCAAGGUGCUGACGAGUGGCGAACGGGUGAGUAAUGCAUCGGAACGUGCCCAGUCGUGGGGGAUAACUACUCGAAAGAGUAGCUAAUACCGCAUACGAUCUAUGGAUGAAAGCGGGGGACCGUAAGGCCUCUCGCGAUUGGAGCGGCCGAUGUCAGAUUAGGUAGUUGGUGGGGUAAAGGCUCACCAAGCCAACGAUCUGUAGCUGGUCUGAGAGGACGACCAGCCACACUGGGACUGAGACACGGCCCAGACUCCUACGGGAGGCAGCAGUGGGGAAUUUUGGACAAUGGGCGUAAGCCUGAUCCAGCAAUGCCGCGUGCAGGAAGAAGGCCUUCGGGUUGUAAACUGCUUUUGUACGGAACGAAACGGCUCUGGUUAAUACCCGGGGCUAAUGACGGUACCGUAAGAAUAAGCACCGGCUAACUACGUG
This 482-nucleotide ribosomal RNA is filed under the name uncultured bacterium. Its description in RNAcentral is "partial 16S ribosomal RNA". It matches the Rfam family "Bacterial small subunit ribosomal RNA", at positions 30 to 507 of the family's 1533-position model. The record is from RNAcentral.